This 253-nucleotide ribosomal RNA is filed under the name uncultured bacterium. RNAcentral describes it as "partial 16S ribosomal RNA". It matches the Rfam family "Bacterial small subunit ribosomal RNA", at positions 524 to 776 of the family's 1533-position model. The record is from RNAcentral.
UACGUAGGUGGCAAGCGUUGCCCGGAUUUAUUGGGUUUAAAGGGUGCGUAGGCGGUCAUGUAAGUCAGUGCUGAAAUAUCCCGGCUUAACCGGGAGGGUGGCAUUGAUACUGUAUGACUUGAGUAAAGUUGAGGUUGGCGGAAUUGACGGUGUAGCGGUGAAAUGCUUAGAUAUCGUCAAGAACACCUAUUGCGAAGGCAGCUAACUAAGCUUUAACUGACGCUGAGGCACGAAAGUGUGGGGAUCAAACAGG